GGCGACCGGCGCACGGGUGCGUAACGCGUAUGCAACCUACCUUAUACAGGGGGAUAGCCCAGAGAAAUUUGGAUUAAUACCCCAUAGUAUCAUCAGAUGGCAUCUGAAGAUGAUUAAAGAUUUAUUGGUAUAAGAUGGGCAUGCGUUAGAUUAGCUAGUUGGUGAGGUAACGGCUCACCAAGGCGACGAUCUAUAGGGGACCUGAGAGGGUGAUCCCCCACACUGGUACUGAGAUACGGACCAGACUCCUACGGGAGGCAGCAGUAGGGAAUAUUGGUCAAUGGAGGAGACUCUGAACCAGCCAUGCCGCGUGCAGGAAGACGGCCUUCUGGGUUGUAAACUGCUUUUGACAGGGAAGAAAACGUCCAUGCGUGGAUAACUGACGGUACCUGUAGAAUAAGCACCGGCUAACUCCGUGCCAGCAGCCGCGGUAAUACGGAGGGUGCAAGCGUUGUCCGGAUUUAUUGGGUUUAAAGGGUGCGUAGGCUGUAGAUUAAGUCAGAGGUGAAAUCCAACAGCUCAACUGUUGAACUGCCUUUGAUACUGGUUUACUUGAGUAUAGAUGAGGUAGGCGGAAUUUAUGGUGUAGCGGUGAAAUGCAUAGAUACCAUAAGGAACACCGAUAGCGAAGGCAGCUUACUAAACUAUAACUGACGCUGAGGCACGAAAGCAUGGGGAUCGAACAGGAUUAGAUACCCUGGUAGUCCAUGCUGUAAACGAUGAUUACUCGAUGUAUGCGAUAUACAGUAUGCGUCCAAGCGAAAGCGUUAAGUAAUCCACCUGGGGAGUACGCCCCGCAAGGGUGAAACUCAAAGGAAUUGACGGGGGUCCGCACAGGCGGUGGAGCAUGUGGUUUAAUUCG
RNAcentral lists this ribosomal RNA (862 nucleotides) under uncultured bacterium. RNAcentral describes it as "bacterial SSU rRNA". It matches the Rfam family "Bacterial small subunit ribosomal RNA", at positions 90 to 953 of the family's 1533-position model. The record is from RNAcentral.